UCUUUGCCACAUUAACCCUUUGGACCUACAAACACACGAAAAUAGCUUAAAAUACUAAAAUAACUAUGAACUAACAACAUAAAUGCCAAGAAAUAAGCUAACUAAGUCGCAUAAAUAUGCUCCUAUCAUUCAACAGUCUUCAAGUUCAUGGAGUUAGGGUUCAUGGCUGUAUAAUCAUGUAACAUGAAAGAUAUUAACUUUAAUCCCCAAACUUUAUAUCAUAAACUCAAGAAUCUUCAGAUUAAGAGUUGUAUGAAAAUUUUCUUGAUCAUGACACUUUCACAGCCAACAUACAAUUUUCCGUAGCCAUAAUUACAGACCUUUGUGGCUACAAGAAGUGACUGGGUUCGUAUAUUGGUAUAUGAAUUGUCAUGCCAUUAUGAAAUCAAUACAUAAACAAUUAAAACAUCUUUAGAUGAUCAGUGAAUAUAUUUUGAUCCAUAGUGCCAACUCUAAUUCGUAUACUGCAUAAAAAACAUACACAGCACAGAUAGCUUUAGCUACAAUGUUCGAAUACAUGUCAUUCCCAUAUAGUAUACCAUUAGACCUUAAUCUGAAAAUUCACACAAUUGCUUAUGCUUUCUUCUUUAGGGUUAGUUGGUAAGUGAAAGCUCUGAUACCAAAUGUGAAACAUAUAUUUAAUAUGAUUAUGAACUUUGAAUAUUAUAUCACAGUACCAGGUUAACCACUUACCUGAAGACAACGACAUAAUUGUUGGGAUUAGAGUUCUUCUACAUCUCCCCUCUUCAGUAUGCAAGGUCUUGAGAAUGGGGUUUGAGUUCCUGUAAUCUUGAGUGUUUAGAAAGAGUUCAGGGACCCUAAUAUAUAUACCAUACACAGUGGUAAUCAACUCGGACUCUUCCCAUUGAGUAAUCAUGAUUGAUCUUAACCUUAUCACCAUGAAUUCCUUUAUUCAUAUCAACUAGAAAGACUUCUAGUAACAUCAUAAGUGUUCAAGUGAAUGAAUCCUAAUAUAAAUGUUCCUUAUCAGCUCACAAACAUUGUCAAUCUUGAUCUCUAAUAUUCCCACGUGAAUAACUAGUGCUAACCAAGUGUAUAGCUCUUAUCAAAACUUACCACUAAACCAUCAGCUCGUGGUUCUAGAAGUCCAAACUAUUAUGACAAAUCCCAUCUCUAGUCCUCAGUCAUCCUCAGCAGUUGCAGUACUAUUGAUACAAUCGAGUCAUAUUACACACAGAAAAAGAAAUAUAUGCAACAGAAUUAUUCAGUCCAUAACUUUUGAAGAUAUAUUCUCUGAUCAAUCGAAACGCAUUUUUACCGUAUAUUUGCAUCACUGUAAGACGUCAGUACAUUUUUAUUAUACAUACUACUCGUUUUUGGAAGAUGCAUGUCUUGAAAUUGUUAGGAAGAAUAUAGAUUGAUGCAAAGGCCCUCUUUUCCAAGAUGCUAUAUAUCUUUUUGCCAAUCAUGUUAUGUUCUUUUACUCUCUUUUUUUUAAAUUUUUAUUUUUAUUUUAUGAAGUUGUUCUUCUCAUUUUUUGACAUCUGGAAUAGAAAAUCAAACACAAGUAUAUAUGAUUAUCUAAUUUCUCUUCAUUUUUUCGUAUGGCCAGCUGAUUCGAUAUUUGAAGUCGCUACUACUGGCCGAGUAACUUCAAUUUCCUUCUGGUGCAAUAUGUAUACGAAGUUUCUUGGAAAUUUCCUUCUAUUGGUUUUCGAUAAGGUACCUAUAGGUGUAUAUAUCUUUUUCAAUAUCAAUAUAAAUAUCAUAUGAGGAAGGAUAAUGUCUGUGUUUCUCAUGGAAAAACCUAUUUGUCUCAUUCAUUUUCUUUAUCAUCAUAUCUAAAGAUCAACCAAAUUGAAUGAUUUUUGCAUAUAUGACAUUUAGAUGAAUAUAAGGCAAAUGAACGGUUUUGAUUAUGAAGUUCGUACAUCGAAG
This 1899-nucleotide long non-coding RNA is filed under the name Malus domestica (apple). RNAcentral describes it as "long non-coding RNA (MDOM_LNC020891)". The record is from RNAcentral. Lineage: Eukaryota; Viridiplantae; Streptophyta; Magnoliopsida; Rosales; Rosaceae.